RNAcentral lists this ribosomal RNA (523 nucleotides) under uncultured bacterium. RNAcentral describes it as "partial 16S ribosomal RNA". It matches the Rfam family "Bacterial small subunit ribosomal RNA", at positions 28 to 523 of the family's 1533-position model. The record is from RNAcentral.
GACGAACGCUGGCGGCGUGCCUAAUACAUGCAAGUCGAACGCUUUUUCUUUCACCGGAGCUUGCUCCACCGAAAGAAAAAGAGUGGCGAACGGGUGAGUAACACGUGGGUAACCUGCCCAUCAGAAGGGGAUAACACUUGGAAACAGGUGCUAAUACCGUAUAACACUAUUUUCCGCAUGGAAGAGAGUUGAAAGGCGCUUUUGCGUCACUGAUGGAUGGACCCGCGGUGCAUUAGCUAGUUGGUGAGGUAACGGCUCACCAAGGCAACGAUGCAUAGUCGACCUGAGAGGGUGCUCGGACACACUGGGACUGAGACACGGCCCAGACUCCUACGGGAGGAAGCAGUAGGGAAUCUUCGGCAAUGGACGAAAGUCUGACCGAGCAACGCCGCGUGAGUGAAGAAGGUUUUCGGAUCGUAAAACUCUGUUGUUAGAGAAGAACAAGGAUGAGAGUAGAACGUUCAUCCCUUGACGGUAUCUAACCAGAAAGCCACGGCUAACUACGUGCCAGCCACCGCCGUAA